Molecule: ribosomal RNA, 793 nt
Filed under: uncultured Methanosaeta sp.
Lineage: Archaea; Methanobacteriati; Methanobacteriota; Methanomicrobia; Methanotrichales; Methanotrichaceae
Description: bacterial SSU rRNA
Rfam family: Archaeal small subunit ribosomal RNA
Source: RNAcentral
ACGGCUCAGUAACACGUGGACAACCUACCCUCCGGACGGGUAUAAACCCGGGAAACUGGGUAUAAUCCCCGAUAGAUCUCGGUCGCUGGAAAGCCCCGAGAUCGAAAGCUCCGGCGCCAGAGGAUGGGUCUGCGGCCUAUCAGGUAGUAGUGGGUGUAGCGUACCUACUAGCCUACGACGGGUACGGGUUGUGAGAGCAAGAGCCCGGAGAUGGAUUCUGAGACACGAAUCCAGGCCCUACGGGGUGCAGCAGGCGCGAAAACUUUACAAUGCCGGCAACGGCGAUAAGGGGACCUCGAGUGCCAGGUUACAAAUCUGGCUGUCGUGAUGCCUAAAAAGCAUUGCAUAGCAAGGGCCGGGCAAGACCGGUGCCAGCCGCCGCGGUAACACCGGCGGCUCGAGUGGUAACCGUUAUUAUUGGGUCUAAAGGGUCUGUAGCCGGCCAGGUAAGUCUCUUGAGAAAUCCAGCAGCUCAACUGUUGGGCUUUCAGGAGAUACUGUCUGGCUCGAGGCCGGGAGAGGUGAGAGGUACUUCAGGGGUAGGGGUGAAAUCUUGUAAUCCUUGAAGGACCACCAGUGGCGAAGGCGUCUCACCAGAACGGACCUGACGGCAAGGGACGAAAGCUAGGGGCACGAACCGGAUUAGAUACCCGGGUAGUCCUAGCCGUAAACGAUACUCGCUAGGUGUCGGCCACGGUGCGACCGUUGUCGGUGCCGUANGGAAGCCGUGAAGCGAGCCACCUGGGAAGUACGGCCGCAAGGCUGAAACUUAAAGGAAUUGGCGGGGGAGCAC